UACGAAGGGGGCUAGCGUUGUUCGGAAUUACUGGGCGUAAAGCGCGCGCAGGCGGCUAUCCAAGUCAGUGGUGAAAGCCCGGAGCUCAACUCCGGAACUGCCAUUGAAACUGUUUAGCUUGAGGAUGAGAGAGGUGAGUGGAAUUCCCAGUGUAGAGGUGAAAUUCGUAGAUAUUCGGAAGAACACCAGUGGCGAAGGCGACUCACUGGACACAUAUUGACGCUGAGGUGCGAAAGCGUGGGGAGCAAACAGG
Molecule: ribosomal RNA, 253 nt
Filed under: uncultured bacterium
Lineage: Bacteria
Description: partial 16S ribosomal RNA
Rfam family: Bacterial small subunit ribosomal RNA
Source: RNAcentral